CAUUUCUAGCUUGCUAGAAGAUGACGAGCGGCGGACGGGUGAGUAAUACUUGGGGAUCUGCCUGAUGGCGGGGGACAACCACUGGAAACGGUGGCUAAUACCGCAUAAUGCCUACGGGCCAAAGUGUGGGACCUUCGGGCCACAUGCCAUCAGAUGAACCCAAGCGAGAUUAGCUAGUUGGUGAGGUAACGGCUCACCAAGGCGACGAUCUCUAGCUGGUCUGAGAGGAUGAUCAGCCACACUGGGACUGAGACACGGCCCAGACUCCUACGGGAGGCAGCAGUGGGGAAUAUUGGACAAUGGGCGCAAGCCUGAUCCAGCCAUGCCGCGUGUGUGAAGAAGGCCUUCGGGUUGUAAAGCACUUUCAGUGGUGAGGAAGGCCUUGUAGUUAAUAGCUGCAAGGAUUGACGUUAGCCACAGAAGAAGCACCGGCUAACUCCGUGCCAGCAGCCGCGGUAAUACGGAGGGUGCGAGCGUUAAUCGGAAUUACUGGGCGUAAAGCGCACGUAGGCGGUUUGUUAAGCAAGAUGUGAAAGCCCAGGGCUCAACCUUGGAAUUGCAUUUUGAACUGGCAAGCUAGAGUUUUGAAGAGGGUGGUAGAAUUUCCAGUGUAGCGGUGAAAUGCGUAGAUAUUGGAAGGAAUACCAGUGGCGAAGGCGGCCACCUGGUCAAAAACUGACGCUGAGGAGCGAAAGCGUGGGGAGCAAACAGGAUUAGAUACCCUGGUAGUCCACGCCGUAAACGAUGUCAACUAGUUGUUCGUGUCCUUGAGACGUGAGUAACGCAGCUAACGCACUAAGUUGACCGCCUGGGGAGUACGGCCGCAAGGUUAAAACUCAAAUGAAUUGACGGGGGCCCGCACAAGCGGUGGAGCAUGUGGUUUAUUCGAUGCAACGCGAAGAACCUUACCAUCCCUUGACAUCCA
RNAcentral lists this ribosomal RNA (925 nucleotides) under uncultured bacterium. Its description in RNAcentral is "bacterial SSU rRNA". It matches the Rfam family "Bacterial small subunit ribosomal RNA", at positions 70 to 990 of the family's 1533-position model. The record is from RNAcentral.